Molecule: long non-coding RNA, 740 nt
Organism: Homo sapiens (human)
Lineage: Eukaryota; Metazoa; Chordata; Mammalia; Primates; Hominidae
Exons: 4
Source: RefSeq, a predicted model, not a curated record
UGAAAAGAGCAGAGGGGCAUCCAAGAGUGACAAGAAUUGCUUUCUGUCAUCAUCAAGGCUGCGUCAGCUCACGCUGUGGUCAGAUCCCUCUUGUACUGGUCCCAGAAGAGAAAGACUAUGACAUUAUUGCUCCUCAGGAAGAGGUGAAGCCCUCUCACCCCCAAUAUGCAUCAAUGUCAGAAUCAGGAAGCAGAUGAGAGGUACACAGCCCCCUGAGAAGCAGUGCUUGACACAGGCUACUGUAAUAGGUGUCCACCCAUCUGAAUCCUACUGCCCAGCACUCAGCUCAGAUGGAACAAGAGGCUGCCAGACGAGAGGCUGGGAGUUGCAGAAGCACCUGUUACAGCAGAAGUCAUUUGGCAAGCCAAACAAAAUGCGGAUUCAUCCAGGCCACCUGUAAAGGAAUUUAAUGCCUAACAACCUAUGCAAAGCUUCUAAUUGUCAUAAUUAAUUUGGCAUCUAUUCACUGCUGGCACCAGUUUGAUCGCUCCCAUUUCAUAGAUCUUUACAAUGUCACACUGUUGCUCCAGCUUAUUUAGAAAUCCUGGAAAGAGGGGAAGUGGAGAUUGCAGGGCAGCCUCAGCCCUCAGAAAAGUUUCUCUGCUUUCUCAUGUGUCCCAGCUGACAGGAUGCCAGGCCAGCAAGCUAAUGACCAACAGCUGAGCGCCAUGGCAAAGAACGAUAUAAAGACAAUCAUCUGGCUUCUGCUACUUUACAAACAAAAGGCAAGAGAUAGCAUA